AUUUGUUAAUGAAGGCCAAACUCAGAACGAGUUAAGUAAUAAUGAUAUGUAAAAGAAAUUGAGAGAAGAGUAAUUGUCGUUCAUUUUUCUUAGUCAAUGUUUAUGGAGAGGCUAUGAAGAUUAAUGUUGCCAUCAUUCACAGGCAACAUUGCCUCAAUCAGGAUCCCUUGCGUUAUGUAGGAGAUAUGUUAGGAUGGCUCCAUCAGUUGAUUUAUCCUCACCAUCAGCAGUAAGGGAAGGUGUUUCUUUGCUGCUUGAGCUUAUUGAUACCUAUGAUGGCAUGAUGGUUCCUGCAUCUAGGAAGAAGCCUGACUUUGAUCCUGUGAUUGCUGCUUUACUGGAUCCUAUAAUUCAGGCAUGCAUGAUGGUGGGGCUGAAGGGAAUCGUUCCAAGAAGGUGAAAAGCGAAGAUACAUGCAAUCAUUCUGACAAAGGCGAGGAAGAUGUUGAAGAGGAAGAGGCAAGGAAGAAUAGACUUGGGCUUAAUAAGAAGAGUGGUGAUGAUGAUGAGUUGAUUGCGAAGGGAAAAUCCUAU
Molecule: long non-coding RNA, 534 nt
Organism: Asparagus officinalis (garden asparagus)
Lineage: Eukaryota; Viridiplantae; Streptophyta; Magnoliopsida; Asparagales; Asparagaceae
Exons: 4
Source: RefSeq, a predicted model, not a curated record